GGGCGGGUGGCGGAAUUGGUAGACGCACCACACUCAAAAUGUGGCGAUCGUGAGGUCGUAGGAGUUCGAUUCUCCUCCUGCCCA
Molecule: transfer RNA, 84 nt
Filed under: Tolypothrix brevis GSE-NOS-MK-07-07A
Lineage: Bacteria; Bacillati; Cyanobacteriota; Cyanophyceae; Nostocales; Tolypothrichaceae
Description: tRNA-Leu
Rfam family: tRNA
About the family: Transfer RNA (tRNA) molecules are approximately 80 nucleotides in length. Their secondary structure includes four short double-helical elements and three loops (D, anti-codon, and T loops).
Source: RNAcentral